UCCGACGGUGAAUGACGCAGCGGAAUGGAAUAUAAUCGAAGAAGAAAACGAUCUAGGACCUAAUCGGACCGAAUGUGAGGAAGAACUCACGAAAACCCUAAUUAGGAGAAAACCCUAAAUCGAACGGAGAAACACCGAUUGGACCAAUUAAUCGGUGUAAAAUGGAUAUUAAACGGUGGAAAGGUGUUUAGACAAGGAAUCAAUCGGUAGAAAUGGUUGGAAAUGGUGAAAUGAGGCUUUUAAUCAGUGGAAACCUAGCAAAUGGUGGGAUAGGAUGAAGAUCGGUGAGGGAAGAGGCUUUUACCGGUGAGAUCGUGACGACAGUGGUGGAUCGGAGUUUGGCUGAUGGUCGGAGACGAAAGUGAGUUCGAGAGAGAGAGGACUCUCGAGAGGAAUUGACGCUGAGAGUGAUUUGGAGAAAUGAAUGGUUGAAGCUUCUGAAGCGUACUGAAGAAUCAGAGACGUGGCUGAUGAUGUGUGGCUAGCGUGAAGUAAUGGUGCAGCGUGUAUGAGAGAGAAAGCACAAUGGUAAAAUUGGAAAAUGAUAGAAUGAGGUAGUG
This 560-nucleotide long non-coding RNA is filed under the name Vigna radiata. RNAcentral describes it as "long non-coding RNA (VRAD_LNC013135)". Lineage: Eukaryota; Viridiplantae; Streptophyta; Magnoliopsida; Fabales; Fabaceae. The record is from RNAcentral.